RNAcentral lists this ribosomal RNA (465 nucleotides) under uncultured bacterium. RNAcentral describes it as "partial 16S ribosomal RNA". It matches the Rfam family "Bacterial small subunit ribosomal RNA", at positions 28 to 507 of the family's 1533-position model. The record is from RNAcentral.
AUUGAACGCUGGCGGCGUGCUUAACACAUGCAAGUCGAACGGAAAGGCUCCUGCUUGCAGGGGUACUCGAGUGGCGAACGGGUGAGUAACACGUGGGUGAUCUGCCCUGCACUUCGGGAUAAGCCUGGGAAACUGGGUCUAAUACCGGAUAGGACGACGGUUUGGAUGCCAUUGUGGAAAGUUUUUCGGUGUGGGAUGAGCUCGCGGCCUAUCAGCUUGUUGGUGGGGUAAUGGCCUACCAAGGCGUCGACGGGUAGCCGGCCUGAGAGGGUGUACGGCCACAUUGGGACUGAGAUACGGCCCAGACUCCUACGGGAGGCAGCAGUGGGGAAUAUUGCACAAUGGGCGCAAGCCUGAUGCAGCGACGCCGCGUGGGGGAUGACGGCCUUCGGGUUGUAAACUCCUUUCGCUAGGGACGAAGCGCAAGUGACGGUACCUGGAGAAGAAGCACCGGCUAACUACGUG